Long non-coding RNA from Papaver somniferum (opium poppy), 1344 nucleotides. RefSeq lists it as uncharacterized. The transcript is spliced from 2 exons. The record is from RefSeq and is a predicted model, not a curated record. NCBI's taxonomy places the organism in Eukaryota, Viridiplantae, Streptophyta, Magnoliopsida, Ranunculales, Papaveraceae.
UGUUUCAUCAAAAUCUCUAAAAUAGUAACUUUGCACUUAAACCGCCUUGGCAGCCCUCAUCCUUUUUCGUGGGUGCCUUAGUAAAUUUGUUGGUCUUAUCAACAAAACCGAUCGAAGAGAAACCAUUUUCUCUUAUUCUUCUUCUUCCUUCUUCUCUUUCCCCUGUUCUUCUCAGUUCGUGUUUUUGUGGGAAGAUUAUUUGAUUUUGAGAUCAGAAACUUAGGGGAAUCAAUAAGAAUUGAUUGUGGUGGUUCUGUUGAUGUUUAUUAAUUUCUGGAAAAGAAGGAGAUGAUGCUGUCAUAAUCAGAAAUAGGGUUUAUAGGGUUGAUUGAUGUUAUGAAGAAUUCGAAGUUGAAAUUGAGAGUUUAAGGAGAUGAUUAUAUAUGGUUUUGACGUGAAUUAGAGUUUUGAUGAAUCCGAGUCGUGCUAGCAGUGAAGAUUGGUUGGAUUUAAGAGUUACGGUUUCUGUGAAUAGAAAUUAGGAACUAGGGAUUCGUUUUAGUGAUGAUUAAGAUGAAAUUCAAGGAUGGGUUUUGAAGAACGUGAUGUGAAGAAAGAGGUUGUGAAUUGAAUUUGAAGAUUUAGUUUCAAACAAGAACUUUAAUUGAGAAUUGGAGAAUUAAGAAUAUGGUUGCUGUUAAUUUGGGUCUCUGGAAGAAGAAUUACGUUAAUGAACAUCAGUUGAGAACAAGGAUAUAUGAAGAAGUGUAUGAUGUCGAUGAAGUGGUGAAAUUGAGAAAUGGAGUUUCUGUUGGUGGUAUUGCUUUGUUGGUUGUAAUGAACAUAAGUUGCAUAUGCUAAUGGAGUUUUUGUUAGUGAAUGUCACAAAGAAUGCAGGGAGUUGUGUAGUAGUGUGAUUGUUGUAGAUGAAGAACAAAAGAAGAUGUGGUUGUCGUUGUUGUGUAGAAUAGUUGGUGGAGAUAUUGAGGUGUGGUUUGUGAAUGAAUUACAUGUGAUAUGAUGAUGUAUGGAUUCUGAAGAUUUCAGUUAAGAUGUGUAAUGCUGUUUAUGUUGGUGUUUGAAUGGAUAUGUAACUGAGGUCACUAUGUCUUGCUGAGGAGUGGGUGGAUACUAAAGUUUAAUGUGCAGAUGGUAAGCCAAUAUGGAGAAAUAGUCUUGCAGUCGAGGGAAGAUUAGUUGCUUGAGUUUGCUGGUGUUGUGAAAUGAAGUUGGAGUUACAACUGUAACUGAUGAAUAUCUGAUGAAGCUGAAGUGACUGUGUUGUUGGGUUGAAGACGUAGUGUUAUUCUGAGUUAAAGGGGUUAGUGUGUGUUUCAGUUUAGAAGUUGUUUUCUGCUUGAGUUGUACCGUUAGAGUUAAUAGUAGUGGUAAUGAUUGUAUGAA